RNAcentral lists this long non-coding RNA (3982 nucleotides) under Mus musculus (house mouse). Its description in RNAcentral is "predicted gene, 16630 (Gm16630)". The record is from RNAcentral. Lineage: Eukaryota; Metazoa; Chordata; Mammalia; Rodentia; Muridae.
UCUCUUUAGCAUCCGGCGCUUUCUGAGUGCGCCCUGUACAGGUGCCAGGUUAGGAUGCAUGGAUAAAAAGGGACCAGUUUCUCCCGUUGGCUGCAGUCACGUAAACCCGACCCUGAGUGGCUGAGGGCCAGGGCACAGUGGCUCACCGCUACACUGAUCUGCAUCACUACAUUUUAUGUGACUAUUUGCUUGCUCGUGUUGCCCACUGAUGGUGGCGGCCCCAGUAGUUCCUGACAAACGCUAGGCUUAAAUAUAUGUAUGAUGUGUGGACUAAGUGUGUGCCCCAUCUCUGGAUUCAUUUGUGCUGCUGUCUCUGUGGUGCAGACAUAGUCCUUAGGCUGCACUUUGAGGCUCAUUUUCCUUCCUGGAGCCCUCGUCUUUCCCUUCAUUGUAUGGGAAAAACUCAAAGAGAAGUUUUUGGAGCUUUGAAACAGGUGCUUGGAGCCACAGCAGAAGCCACCAUACCCAGGACUUGUUCUCGGCUCUCCACUCCUAAAAAUGUCUGCAGGGGCGUCCCCUUAUCUGCGAUCCGAGGAAGGACGAUUUCUCCCUAGCCACCCCAGCAUAGCUCUUUAGUGACUCUGGCCUACGUGGGCUCCACUGGCAUACUGGCUUUGUAUGCUGGCAUGCCAGAACACAUGAUCGAGCAGAGACCACUAACAUUACUGCCCAGCACAGCUGAGUGAAUUUCUUCCUUCACACUCUAAGGACAGGACCGCAGCAUGGAAAAAGAAAACUGAAAGUUCAGUCCAUCUCCAGUAGCAUCUCAGGUGACCCAGGUUCCUGCUCCUUUGUUCUGGUUGCCCACAAACCAUACUGCACAGCCAAGGCCCUGUGGAUCCCUCCACCUUCACCAGUGACCCAGGUUCCUGCUCCUUUGUUCUGGUUGCCCACAAACCAUACUGCACAGCCAAGGCACCGUGGAUCCCUCCACCUUCACCAGUGACCCAGGUUCCUGCUCCUUUGCUCUGGUUGCCCACAAACCAUACUGCACAGCCAAGGCACCGUGGAUCCCUCCACCUUCACCAGAUGCUCACAGACCUACUUUCCAGAAGUUGCCAGACCUGACUGGUGAGAUGCCUUCCUCAGCUCUGCAGCUUUCCAGGCCCAUCCUUGAAUAGCAUCAUCACCCAAGAAAAGGAGCAGAACAGCUGCAGACCCUGAGCCCACUUCACACUGCUGUCAUCAGUUAGCUCCUGAGCUGGCCAACUAUCUACCACCUGAGCCCCGAGACACCCCUCUCUUCCUUCCCUGAAGACAAAUUGGCUGUCUCUCAGAGUUCUCACAGGGGCUAUCAGCACUGUCAGCAGCAUCACUGCAGAAUCCCUCUCUGCCUGGGACAGCAGCUCAGCCAGUCUUUAGCCUCUGAGGGUGAAACAAGUGAGCAGUGGGCUCUGGAAGGGGGAGAGAAGCUUACAGGGAAAAAGAUGUCCACCCUACAUAGACAACCAGAUUCUAUGAUUUGUCUCCUUAAUUCUGAGCACUCUUUCACCAGAUAGGCAUUCCUUUCUUGCUGGACACUAGCAGUGAAGACACUCUGGCCAAUUCAAGUGUGGUGGGCAUGGCUCUGGCAGUCCUUACCCUUCUCCCUGAUUCCCUCUGCCUUUCUAAAAACCAUUAGAUUAAAUUUCUAAAGCUAGCCACCAAGGUCUAUUUCCUCCUCUUGAGGUCAACCACCAAGGUCCAGCUAUCAAAGUAUUGAAGUCCAGCAAACAAAAGCCCCAUUUGGCUCACCUAAGUAACAUGCAAAUUAAAAUUAUAUAGCUCAUCCUAAAAUGCGGUUUCCCAUUUUACCCUAUUUUAUUUGUUUGUUUGUUUGCUUGCUUGCUUGCUUAUACUUAUCUAAUGAAUGAGUGAUCUGCUGUAUAUACAUCCACAGGCCAGAAGAGGGCAUCAGGUCCCCUUAUAGAUGGUUUUAAGCCACCAUGUCAGUGCUGGGAAUUGAACUCAGGACCUCUGGAAGAGCAGCCAGUGCUCUUAACUGCUGAGCAAUCUCACCAGCCCCCCAUCCUGGCUUUGUAAACCAUCAUUUACCCAUGAGCCUUGUCCGUCUCCCCUCUAUCCAGAGACAGUUUUUGGUUCCUCCUGGACAAAUCUUCUUACUCCCCUUUCCCUUACUCCUUCCCCUUCUCCUUUGUCCUCCAUCUCCUGACUUAUCCCCUGCCCUCUGUCCCUCUGGGGCAAAUAGAUCUUCUCUGUGCUGAGAACUUGGUCUUAGCAUGUAUUGAGUUGAUUUCAAAGUCCCUCUAUAACUGCUGCGCAUGGAAAAAAAUCCCAGAAGAAUUCUCUAUCAUAGUCCUUGUCUUUUCUUUAAGACCCUAACAGAACCAGAGAAAACAGGAAUAUCCAGAAAGAUGGAAGACAGAUAAGAAUGGGAGGAACAUUGAGUGUAUAAGAAAAGAUGGGAGGCAGCUAUCCAUCCGCAUGAUGGGCAGGCCUGCAGAAGGUCUUAAAUGUCUCACCUCUUAAGAUCCAUAUUAAAAGUGGGUUUUCUCACCUCAAAUGAUUUAUUUCAGAAAAACUCUUGAGGCUAGAGCAAUGGCUCAGGGGUUAAGAGCAUUGACUGUUCUUCCAGAGGACCUGAGUUCAAUUCCCAGUACCUACAUGAAAAUUUACUGCUGUCUAUAACUCCAGUUUCAAGGAAUCCAGCACCCUCACAGACAGACAUGUAUGCAAAGCAUCAAUCAAUGUUCAUAAAAUAAAAAUAAAGAAAAGGAAAAACCCUCACACAUGUACCAAGCUGCUUAGUUUUUAGUUAAUUCCAGAUGUAGUGAAGCUGACAGCCAAGAAUAGUCAAUACAGUGUCCCUGUCCUGUCCUCCAUGAUCUUCCCCUCCACACACCUCACCAAACUCCAGGCUCGAACCAGUACACACUUCUUAUACGACAACCCCCUGACUUCACUCCAUCUAAGUCCACCCAUCCUACAGGCCCAACCUGGCCCACACAUCCUGGGAUCUGCCCCUAACUCCUCUGUCUACAUCAGACACAGAACUAACCAAAAAAAAAAAGUUCACAUGCCCAGAUCUCAUAAUAAAAAUAUAAAUAAUUUGAAAACUCAAGGCAGUACCCUCACAAAAAUACCCGCCAAUACUAUAGAAAUGUUCACUAAAGAGAAUUACCCAAAUGAAUCCUCAUGACACAGAACUAAAAAGAACAUUCACAAACUUUGAGACACAGCAAGAAGGCCCUCAGCAGACCCAGCCCCUCUAUCUCAGACUUCCCAGCCUCUAGAUCUGUGAGACAUACACCCCUGUUUAUUGCAAAUUCACUCUCACAAAGCCCUCCAUUACACCACCACAGAUGGGACAACGGCCCCAGCCUGACCUCGCUCCUGAAUCAAUAUUCUCAUGUCAGCUCAGCAUUUCAUCUUGAAUAAACAUUCAAGCAAGCAUUUCUCAUUUAGUAUUUCCCAAACCACAGAGAUUCUCUUCCCCAACCUUUUCUUCUUCAAGUCUUCCCCCAUCUCACCAAGUGGUCACUCUAACCUUCUAGAUGUCCAGUUAUCUAAACUAAAAUGGGGGGGUUGCAGACCUUGACCCAAUCCAUGGGUUCAUUGGUAAACUCUUGGUAUUUCACAUGCAGGCUUUCUCCAAAAACCUGCCCUGCCUGCUUUCCACAGGAGAUUAAAUAAAGAGAUGUGUGAGACACUUGUUUCACUUUAUCUGACACAAGUGCUUCUCAAUAGAAGUAUCUGUUCCUUGUCCGAACUAAAGGGAACUGCAACCCUAUAGGUGGAACAACAAUAUAAACUAAUCAGUACCCCGGAGCUCUUGUCUCUAGCUGCAUAUGUAUCAAAAGAUGGCCUAAUAGGCCAUCACUUGAAAGAGAGGCCCAUUGGACUUGCAAACUUUAUAUGCCCCAGUACAGGGGAACGCCAGGGCCAAAAAGGGGGAGUGGGUGGGUAGGGGAGUGGGGGGGUAUGGGGGACUUUUGGUAUAGCAUUGGAAAUGUAAAUGAGCUAAAUACCUAAUAAAAAAUGG